CGGCGAGCUCCGGCGGAGGAUGGACGAUCGGAGGACGUAUCCCGACUCUCCUCAGCUCAAGCUUCGCGAUGGCACUGGUUUCGUGGCGAUCGGGCUUCGUUUGCGAAUCGACGGUCGAGAUCGUCCGCAAAUCUCUCCGGAUGAUCGGGUGUCAGAUUGGAAAAUCAGAAGUGGGAAUCAUCGUCAGCGCGUCGUUGUGAGUCCGAUGGUGUGUCCUGAUCGUCGAUCGGACUCC
RNAcentral lists this long non-coding RNA (235 nucleotides) under Ricinus communis (castor bean). RNAcentral's name for it is "long non-coding RNA (RCOM_LNC002222)". The record is from RNAcentral. Lineage: Eukaryota; Viridiplantae; Streptophyta; Magnoliopsida; Malpighiales; Euphorbiaceae.